Molecule: long non-coding RNA, 1055 nt
Organism: Triticum urartu
Lineage: Eukaryota; Viridiplantae; Streptophyta; Magnoliopsida; Poales; Poaceae
Source: RefSeq, a predicted model, not a curated record
UGUAUGAAACCCUAACUCCUUCCGAAUCCCCUCCAGCGCCGCCACCCCCUCCCCUUGCCCCGGGUCUGGGACUCUCCCACGAGGCCACGACCCCCUCCCCUCCUCCUCGUCGAGCCUCGAUCUGGCCAGAUCCAUCCAAUCCACACACGGAUCUGGCCUAACCAUCCCGCGGCUGCGGCGGCAGGUUACCAGGACGGCGGUGGGAACAGACCUCGACGGCGGCGGGUACCUAGAAUCGCUGUUGCACCAACCGCGCGCGUCACAAUGGAGGGCGGGGCUUGACGGAUCACCGCCUCGCCGAUGUGGUCGCUGCCGCCUCUGCCGGAGCAGCGAACGCUGUGCUUGUCGCUGGACCAGCGGGUGCUGGGUGAGCCGCGUCGCUUGACUGGGUCAACUCCAAUGGCCCCGGCGUCGGCGGCGAUGAGGCGCCGGACGAUCGGCCCGUGUACGCGGCCAAGACGACCACGCCGCUCGCAGCCCCGUCUGGGCCAUCCUCACUACCGUCUUAGAGUUCAGCAUCGGAACUAAAACCUGCUGCUCUGAAGGUGCCAGCGUCGGUGAGGGAAUUUAUCAAUGUGGAAUGCUCAUCACCACAUAGGGAAGAUCUGAACCAAGUGAAUGGAAGGAUUUUUUGGCAAUGUCUAGCUCAAUCUCACCUUCGAGAAAAUGUAAUAUUUUUCCUCCGGAGUUAGUCUACACUAUCCAGGUUGUAUGCUACUACUGAGAUCCCAUCAAGGAUGAUCUGAAGCACUCAAAGAAGCGAAGGGCAGAAGAAGCUUCGUUUCUCAUUGAUGUUAUGUGUGAUCAACUAAAAUUUGCCCAUCUCGUCCAAUCUUUGUAGAACUAUGUUGUUGUGCGCCUGUGCACUUGUUGGGUCUUUUUGCUGUGCACUUGCACUUGUAGCAUUAUUUUGCUGUGCACUUGUGCACUUGUUGGACUUUGGACCUUGCUGUGUAGAAGAGUUAAUGGAUGAUGUAUUGUAUUUCAUGUGAUGUGUUACUGAAAUGAAAUACACAAUUUAUUUGCAAUAUCGUAUUCUGUUGUACUUGUUUUCA